This 253-nucleotide ribosomal RNA is filed under the name uncultured bacterium. RNAcentral's name for it is "partial 16S ribosomal RNA". It matches the Rfam family "Bacterial small subunit ribosomal RNA", at positions 524 to 776 of the family's 1533-position model. The record is from RNAcentral.
UACAGAGGUCCCGAGCGUUGUUCGGAUUCAUUGGGCGUAAAGGGUGCGUAGGUGGCGGGGCAAGUUGGAUGUGAAAUCCCGGAGCUUAACUCCGGAACUGCAUUCAAUACUGCCUUGCUGGAGUACUGGAGAGGAGAUUGGAAUUUACGGUGUAGCAGUGAAAUGCGUAGAUAUCGUAAGGAAGACCAGUGGCGAAGGCGGAUCUCUGGACAGUUACUGACACUGAGGCACGAAGGCCAGGGGAGCAAACGGG